GCCGAAAUAGCUCAGUUGGGAGAGCGUUAGACUGAAGAUCUAAAGAUCUGUGGUUCAAUCCUGGGUUUCGGCA
Molecule: transfer RNA, 73 nt
Filed under: Danionella translucida
Lineage: Eukaryota; Metazoa; Chordata; Actinopteri; Cypriniformes; Danionidae
Also listed under: 1 other name
Rfam family: tRNA
About the family: Transfer RNA (tRNA) molecules are approximately 80 nucleotides in length. Their secondary structure includes four short double-helical elements and three loops (D, anti-codon, and T loops). Further hydrogen bonds mediate the characteristic L-shaped molecular structure. tRNAs have two regions of fundamental functional importance: the anti-codon, which is responsible for specific mRNA codon recognition, and the 3' end, to which the tRNAs corresponding amino acid is attached (by aminoacyl-tRNA synthetases). tRNAs cope with the degeneracy of the genetic code in two manners: having more than one tRNA (with a specific anti-codon) for a particular amino acid; and 'wobble' base-pairing, i.e. permitting non-standard base-pairing at the 3rd anti-codon position.
Source: Rfam by way of RNAcentral